AAAGAAAUCGUUAAGGGCGUAUGGCGGAUGCCUAGGCUUUCAGAGGCGACGAAGGACGUGGUAAGCUGCGAAAAGCUGCGGGGAUUGGCACACACGAAUUGAUCCGCAGAUGUCCGAAUGGGGCAACCCGUCUGGUUGAAGACCAGUCACUCCGCAAGGAGAGCAAACCAGGAGAACUGAAACAUCUAAGUACCCUGAGGAAAAGAAAUCGAAGAGAUUCCGUAAGUAGUGGCGAGCGAACGCGGAUUAGCCCAAAAGCUUUUAUAUGUUUAAUAGAAUGUUCUGGAAAGAACAGCCAUAGAGGGUGAUAGCCCCGUAUAUGAAAGGCAUAUUAAAGUGAUAAAUGAGUAGGGCGGGACACGUGAAAUCCUGUUUGAAUAUGGGGGGACCAUCCUCCAAGGCUAAAUACUCCUGAAAGACCGAUAGUGAACAAGUACUGUGAAGGAAAGGUGAAAAGCACUUCGAAUAGAAGGGUGAAAUAGAACCUGAAACCGUACGCCUACAAGCGGUCGGAGCCCACAAGUUGGGUGACGGCGUGCCUUUUGCAUAAUGAGCCUACGAGUUAAUGUUACUAGCGAGGUUAAGCACUUCAGGUGCGGAGCCGGAGCGAAAGCGAGUCUGAAUAGGGCGCUUAGUUAGUAGUAUUAGACGCGAAACCUUGUGAUCUACCCAU
Molecule: ribosomal RNA, 673 nt
Filed under: Chryseobacterium muglaense
Lineage: Bacteria; Pseudomonadati; Bacteroidota; Flavobacteriia; Flavobacteriales; Weeksellaceae
Description: partial 23S ribosomal RNA
Rfam family: Bacterial large subunit ribosomal RNA
Source: RNAcentral